This is a long non-coding RNA of Phyllostomus hastatus (greater spear-nosed bat), 736 nucleotides long. RefSeq lists it as uncharacterized. The record is from RefSeq and is a predicted model, not a curated record. NCBI's taxonomy places the organism in Eukaryota, Metazoa, Chordata, Mammalia, Chiroptera, Phyllostomidae. The transcript is spliced from 3 exons.
GUGGGAGUAGUGAACCCCAAAGCUCCGCUCCUCUCCUCUGCCAACCACUCUCCGGAUUUUGUGCGCAGGCGUUGUGGUAACUCUUGAGAAUGGGGCUGUGCCGACGCGCUUGCGCAUUUAUUUUUUUUCUGAGUUUGCUUGGUUUGGGCAGGGUUUUGAUAUCCAAUUUUCUUCCAGCCAGCCCACCUCCUGCCAGUUCUAUUCUGGUGUGACGAGGCUAUCUGGCUUCUAAGCAGUGAUUUAAUAAACGGCUGGCAAUAGCUAAUGUCUAUUGUGCCAAUGCCAUGUGAAAGACAGAAAAUGGAUACAGGAAAGUGCCAAGAAAAGCAAUAAAAGGUGAAGAGUGCAAGGGAAAGAAAGCUGGAGAACCAACAACAGGGGCCUCUCAUGGAGAACUCACUUUAGGGGAACCCUGCACUGAACUACCUUCCUGCAUUGUGUUUCUGUCCUCCGAGCCAGCCCUAAUAGAGGAGUUUCUGGAAUCCUAUUUCAACCUAAGGGACUGAGACGUUCCCUAUCUAAUUGGAGCUGUGCAACUAUAUACCCAUCAGCAUCUUCACUGACCAAUCAGAGCAGUUCCAUUCUGACCGAUCAAGGUGGAUCUGCAAAGACUCUUGUGAAGGUCCAUGUCUGAUGAUGCCCUUGGCCGUGAGCCACCUUUUUGGAUGUUUCAGCAAUCCACUACUGUGGCUCCCUCUGCUUGGCUUGGGUGUUUGACUCAGGACAAAGCUGCACA